Molecule: microRNA precursor, 86 nt
Filed under: Solanum tuberosum (potato)
Lineage: Eukaryota; Viridiplantae; Streptophyta; Magnoliopsida; Solanales; Solanaceae
Description: MIR8024 microRNA precursor family
Rfam family: MIR8024 microRNA precursor family
Source: Rfam by way of RNAcentral
UUGAAGAAAUUGAAGACCGCAACUUGCAGGCUUGAAGAAUUUGAAGACUUCAACUUGUAGACUUAAAGAAUUUGAAGACUUUAACU